This 76-nucleotide transfer RNA is filed under the name Leersia perrieri. It matches the Rfam family "tRNA". From Rfam's summary of the family: Transfer RNA (tRNA) molecules are approximately 80 nucleotides in length. The record is from Rfam by way of RNAcentral. Lineage: Eukaryota; Viridiplantae; Streptophyta; Magnoliopsida; Poales; Poaceae.
GGUCCCGUAGCUCAGUUGGUUAGAGCGUUGCUCUUAUGAGCCGAAGGUCGCGGGUUCUCGAGCCCCGCCGGGACCA